Molecule: ribosomal RNA, 426 nt
Filed under: uncultured bacterium
Lineage: Bacteria
Description: partial 16S ribosomal RNA
Rfam family: Bacterial small subunit ribosomal RNA
Source: RNAcentral
GUGGGGAAUAUUGCGCAAUGGGGGAAACCCUGACGCAGCAACGCCGCGUGAGUGAUGAAGGCUUUCGAGUCGUAAAACUCUGUCUUUGGGGACGAAUAAUGACGGUACCCAAGGAGGAAGCCCCGGCUAACUACGUACCAGCAGCCGCGGUAAUACGUAGGGGGCGAGCGUUGUCCGGAAUCACUGGGCGUAAAGGGCGCGUAGGCGGUUUGUUAAGUCAGGUGUGAAAGUUUUCAGCUUAACUGGAAAAGUGCACUUGAAACUAACUUACUUGAGUACUGGAGAGGUAAGCGGAAUUCCUAGUGUAGCGGUGAAAUGCGUAGAUAUUAGGAAGAACACCGGUGGCGAAGGCGGCUUACUGGACAGAGACUGACGCUGAGGCGCGAAAGCGUGGGGAGCGAACAGGAUUAGAUACCCCAGUAGUCC